This 434-nucleotide ribosomal RNA is filed under the name uncultured bacterium. RNAcentral's name for it is "partial 16S ribosomal RNA". It matches the Rfam family "Bacterial small subunit ribosomal RNA", at positions 29 to 507 of the family's 1533-position model. The record is from RNAcentral.
AGCGAACGCUGGCGGCAGGCCUAACACAUGCAAGUCGAACGAACCUUUCGGGGUUAGUGGCGGACGGGUGAGUAACACGUGGGAACGUGCCUUUAGGUUCGGAAUAACUCAGGGAAACUUGUGCUAAUACCGAAUGUGCCCUUCGGGGGAAAGAUUAAUCGCCUUUAGAGCGGCCCGCGUCUGAUUAGCUAGUUGGUUGAGGUAAUGGCUCACCAAGGCGACGAUCAGUAUCUGGUCUGAGAGGAUGAUCAGCCACAUUGGGACUGAGACACGGCCCAAACUCCUACGGGAGGCAGCAGUGGGGAAUCUUGCGCAAUGGGCGAAAGCCUGACGCAGCCAUGCCGCGUGAAUGAUGAAGGUCUUAGGAUUGUAAAAUUCUUUCACCGGGUACGAUAAUGACGGUACCCGGAGAAGAAGCCCCGGCUAACUUCGUG